RNAcentral lists this ribosomal RNA (325 nucleotides) under uncultured eukaryote. Its description in RNAcentral is "partial 18S ribosomal RNA". It matches the Rfam family "Eukaryotic small subunit ribosomal RNA", at positions 1470 to 1796 of the family's 1831-position model. The record is from RNAcentral.
CCCUUAGAUGUUCUGGGCCGCACGCGCGCUACACUGCUGCAUUCAACGAGCCUAUCCUUGACCGACAGGUCCGGGUAAUCUUUGAAUCUGCAUCGUGACGGGGAUAGAUUAUUGCAAUUAUUAAUCUUCAACGAGGAAUGCCUAGUAGGCGCAAGUCAUCAGCUUGCGUCGAUUACGUCCCUGCCCUUUGUACACACCGCCCGUCGCUCCUACCGAUUGGGUGUGCUGGUGAAAUGUUCGGAUCGGCCGUUUGUCGCGGUUUCCGCGUCAUGUGGCUGAGAAGUUCAUUAAACCCUCCCACCUAGAGGAAGGAGAAGUCGUAACA